RNAcentral lists this transfer RNA (71 nucleotides) under Deltaproteobacteria bacterium. Its description in RNAcentral is "tRNA-Gly". It matches the Rfam family "tRNA". Rfam says of the family: Transfer RNA (tRNA) molecules are approximately 80 nucleotides in length. Their secondary structure includes four short double-helical elements and three loops (D, anti-codon, and T loops). Further hydrogen bonds mediate the characteristic L-shaped molecular structure. tRNAs have two regions of fundamental functional importance: the anti-codon, which is responsible for specific mRNA codon recognition, and the 3' end, to which the tRNAs corresponding amino acid is attached (by aminoacyl-tRNA synthetases). tRNAs cope with the degeneracy of the genetic code in two manners: having more than one tRNA (with a specific anti-codon) for a particular amino acid; and 'wobble' base-pairing, i.e. permitting non-standard base-pairing at the 3rd anti-codon position. Lineage: Bacteria; Pseudomonadati; Myxococcota; Myxococcia. The record is from RNAcentral.
GAGGGCGUAUUUCAACGGUAGAAUCCUGGGUGGCCAUCCCGGAGGUGCGGGUUCGAUUCCCGCCGCCCUCU